Ailuropoda melanoleuca (giant panda) is the source of this 82-nucleotide non-coding RNA. The record is from Rfam. Lineage: Eukaryota; Metazoa; Chordata; Mammalia; Carnivora; Ursidae.
GACGGAGUGGCCGAGUGGUUAAGGCGAUGGACUGCUAAUCCAUUGUGCUCUGCACGCGUGGGUUCAAGUCCCACCUUCGUCG